Molecule: ribosomal RNA, 253 nt
Filed under: uncultured prokaryote
Description: partial 16S ribosomal RNA
Rfam family: Bacterial small subunit ribosomal RNA
Source: RNAcentral
UACAGAGGGUGCGAGCGUUAAUCGGAAUUACUGGGCGUAAAGCGCGCGCAGGCGGCCAGCCAAGUCAGGGGUGAAAGCCCGGGGCUCAACCUCGGAACUGCCUUUGAGACUGGAUGGCUCGAGACCGAGAGAGGAGAGUGGAAUUCCCAGUGUAGAGGUGAAAUUCGUAGAUAUUGGGAAGAACACCGGUGGCGAAGGCGGCUCUCUGGCUCGGUACUGACGCUCAUGCGCGAAAGCGUGGGGAGCAAACAGG